AUGUGACUCAGUUUAAUAUACCAAGCUAGCUAUCUCCUCUCUACCGGCCUUUUUCCCCCUUUCCCCAAUCCUAUCUCCUCUCUCGACUCUCUUUUUCAGUUUCUAGUCACUCUCUCCCACGAGCUCAAGCUCUCGUCAGAUCGUCUCAUCUCCGGUCUCUCACCUCUCGUCUCCGGUCUGUCAAGCUCUCCCUUCUCUGCACUCGCUUCGCCGGCGGCAGAAGCAGACGGAACCGCAUCUGGUCCCUCGGGUGGUGGUGGUUGUCGUCGUCUUCUUGCUUCUCACAGUCUCUGUCUCGCACCUGGUCUCGAUCUCUCCCUUCUCUGCGCUCUUCGUCGCCGGUUGCAGAUGCAACAGAUCCCGGUGAGCUGGUCUUGGUUGUCGUCUUCUUUGCUUCGAGCCUUGCCGUCAGCUUCUCUCUUGCCAUUAGCUUCUCCUUUGCCGUCAGCUUCCUUCGUGCAACCCAAUUCGCGAUCCACCGGUUGAACUAGUGACCCGGUGACCCGGUUGUAUGACCGGGUCAAUUACCGAUUCGGUUCUGAUAACUAUGCUCGAGAGGCAGAGCCUCCUUCUCACUCUCACACUCACAAAUCUGCUACCGCCCACCGCCACCGCAUGAUUUCUUCCACGUCGCCGGCUCCUUUGCGCCACGUCCUGGCUCCUGUGCAUCUCCGGCACUGCGUCAUCACCUCCGUCCAUGAGUCGCCUUCACUGUGUCGUCGCGUAUUCUUUCUCCUGUGCCGUUGUGCGUCUCUUGCCCUGGUCACUUCCUCAUCCGGUAGGGCUCGGGUUGCUGCUGCCUCCCUUGAAUAUGACACAUUCAUACAAGAAUCUUUUACAAGAACUGGUUCAAAAGGAAGGAUUUAGCCUAUCUUCUUAUAUUACAAAAAGUUCAGGCAAGGAUCAUAAUCCGACAUUUGUUGCAUGGGUGAAAGUUAAAGGGGAGGUUUUCCCUGGAAAAGAAGCCAACCAAGAAACAGGCAGAGAUGAAUGCAGCAAAGGUGGCUCUUUCAUUCUUAAAAGAACAAAAAGUAGGUACCUAAUUCAUUGUUUCCCUGCUAGAUCUUCCGAAGACGGCGAAGAGGCCUGAGUCAGAGAGGAAUUAGCAGCAUUCUCUCCUGCAUCUCUUAUUGGUAUGACACACUCAUACAAAAAACUUUUACAAGAACUGGUUCAAAAGGAAGGAUGUAGCCUGCCUUCUUAUAUUACAAAAAGUUCAAGCAAUGAUCAUAAUUCGACAUUUGUCGUACGAGUGAAAGUUAAAGGGGAGGUUUUCCCUGGAGAAGAAGCCAAAACCAAGAAACAAGCAGAGAUAAAUGCGGCAAAGGUUGCUGUUACAAUCUUAAAUGAACAAAAAGACCUUCUGAAGACGGCGAAGAGGGCCGAGUUAGAUAAAUUAGCAGCGUUUUCUCCUGCAUCUCUUGCUGGUCUAGAGCAACUCCUUAAUGACACUUAUGUUAAUCAGAUCCAAGAACCAAUUGAUUAUCACAAGAGAGUCGAUCUAGUUCACAAAUUCAAUAUGAUUUCUCGGAAAAUUUAUGGUAACUAUUUGUUCAUUACUUCCUUCUUUGAUAAUUUGUUUGGAUAUUUCAUAGGAGUUGCGCAGCAUGACUGUAUUUCCACAUUCCCACAUGAAUGGAUGUAAUGCUACUAAUUAUGUAAUCUUUCUUUAACUUAAGUAUCAAUUUUCUUCACAAUUGUGGAAUUGAAUACUAUUUUACUUUUUUUUUUAUUAAAAAAGCAACAUAGGAAAAACAAGUAGUUCUUCGUA
This is a non-coding RNA of Arachis ipaensis, 1771 nucleotides long. Lineage: Eukaryota; Viridiplantae; Streptophyta; Magnoliopsida; Fabales; Fabaceae. The record is from RefSeq and is a predicted model, not a curated record.